AACGUAGGAGGCGAGCGUUAUCCGGAGUUACUGGGCGUAAAGAGCGUGUAGGCGGGUAUGCAAGUUUGGCGUGAAAGCUCCCGGCUAAACUGGGAGAGUGCGCUGAAGACUGCGUAUCUAGAGGCGAGUAGAGGGACGUGGAAUUCCGGGUGUAGUGGUGAAAUGCGUAGAGAUCCGGAGGAACACCAGUGGCGAAGGCGACGUCCUGGGCUUGACCUGACGCUGAGACGCGACAGCACGGGGAGCGAACGGG
Molecule: ribosomal RNA, 253 nt
Filed under: uncultured bacterium
Lineage: Bacteria
Description: partial 16S ribosomal RNA
Rfam family: Bacterial small subunit ribosomal RNA
Source: RNAcentral